GAUGAAGAACGUAGCGAAAUGCGAUACGUAAUGUGAAUUGCAGAUUUCAGUGAAUCAUCGAAUCUUUGAACGCACAUUGCGCCCGCUAGUAUUCUGGCGGGCAUGCCUGUUCGAGCGUCAUUUCAACCAUCAAGCCCCCGGCUUGCGUUGGAGCCCUGCGGCUGCCGCAGGCUCCCAAAUCUAGUGGCGGGCUCGUCGUCGUACCGAGUGCAGUAAACAUCCUCGCUCAGGGAACGCGUCGGGUUCUUGCCGUGAAACCCCCCCAUAUCAAGGUUGACCUCGGAUCAGGUAGGAAUACCCGCUGAACUUAAGCAUAUCAAUAAGCGGAAGA
Molecule: unclassified non-coding RNA, 331 nt
Filed under: soil metagenome
Description: partial contains 5.8S ribosomal RNA, internal transcribed spacer 2, and large subunit ribosomal RNA
Rfam family: 5.8S ribosomal RNA (bases 1-120)
Source: RNAcentral